This is a non-coding RNA of Populus trichocarpa (black cottonwood), 126 nucleotides long. Lineage: Eukaryota; Viridiplantae; Streptophyta; Magnoliopsida; Malpighiales; Salicaceae. The record is from Rfam.
UAAUAUAUCUAAGAUAAAUUCUCAUCUAGUCGCCAUGAAAUACUCAUUUCUAACCAUUCAAAAUCAUUUAUUAUCACAGACCCCACUACAUCACAUAACCACUUCAGUGCAAUCACAGGAUGUAGC